Long non-coding RNA from Stomoxys calcitrans (stable fly), 513 nucleotides. RefSeq lists it as uncharacterized. The transcript has 2 exons. The record is from RefSeq and is a predicted model, not a curated record. NCBI's taxonomy places the organism in Eukaryota, Metazoa, Arthropoda, Insecta, Diptera, Muscidae.
GUAUUCUAUAUUUGGAGAUUGGCUUUACGGAGGAUACGAUCUCGUCUACUAUCAGUUCUCGGCAAGAGUUACGUACAUCUAAAUGUCAAAGGCUUAAUAUCAAGUUUUGCCCAUGAACAUUUCACUAAGGAACAAGGGCAAAUUCUCACAUUUCAAUGAGUGCAGUUCGAUUCAAGUUUAAGAUCAAUGAUAAGGGGCCUCCUUUUUAUACCCGAGUCCGAACGGCGUGCCGCACUGCGACACAUCUUUGGAGAAGCUUUACAUGGUAUAGUACCUCUCAAAUGUGGCAAAAAUUAGGAAGGCAAAAACACCACUGACAGGAUUCGAACCCAGGCGUUCAGCGUCAUAUGCGGACAUGCUAACCUCUGCGCAACGGUGGCCUCCUUAUUUAUACUUUUAUGCUUUAUAUUUUAUGUUUUUACGCAAUUUAUUUCAAUGAAGUGGAAAUUUUUUAUUCAUGUCAAAAACAUCAAUUAUUUAUUAUUAAAUAGAAAAAAAGUUGCUUAAAAGAAA